UAGACCCGAAACCAGGUGAUCUACCCUUGGUCAGGUUGAAGUUCAGGUAACACUGAAUGGAGGACCGAACCGACUUACGUUGAAAAGUGAGCGGAUGAACUGAGGGUAGCGGAGAAAUUCCAAUCGAACCUGGAGAUAGCUGGUUCUCUCCGAAAUAGCUUUAGGGCUAGCCUCAAGUGAUGAUUAUUGGAGGUAGAGCACUGUUUGGACGAGGGGCCCCUCUCGGGUUACCGAAUUCAGACAAACUCCGAAUGCCAAUUAAUUUAACUUGGGAGUCAGAACAUGGGUGAUAAGGUCCGUGUUCGAAAGGGAAACAGCCCAGACCACCAGCUAAGGUCCCAAAAUAUAUGUUAAGUGGAAAAGGAUGUGGCGUUGCCCAGACAACUAGGAUGUUGGCUUAGAAGCAGCCAUCAUUUAAAGAGUGCGUAAUAGCUCACUAGUCGAGUGACACUGCGCCGAAAAUGUACCGGGGCUAAACAUAUUACCGAAGCUGUGGAUUGUCCUUUGGACAAUGGUAGGAGAGCGUUCUAAGGGCGUUGAAGCAUGAUCGUAAGGACAUGUGGAGCGCUUAGAAGUGAGAAUGCCGGUGUGAGUAGCGAAAGA
Molecule: ribosomal RNA, 603 nt
Filed under: Staphylococcus aureus
Lineage: Bacteria; Bacillati; Bacillota; Bacilli; Caryophanales; Staphylococcaceae
Description: partial 23S ribosomal RNA
Rfam family: Bacterial large subunit ribosomal RNA
Source: RNAcentral